AGAGUUUGAUCCUGGCUCAGGACGAACGCUGGCGGCGUGCCUAACACAUGCAAGUCGAACGGAGAAUUUCAAGAUGUUUACAUGGCGAAAUUCUUAGUGGCGGACGGGNNNNNNNNNNNNNNNNNNNNNNNNNNNNNNNNNNNNNNNNNNNNNNNNNNAGUCGAACGGAGAAUUUCAAGAUGUUUACAUGGCGAAAUUCUUAGUGGCGGACGGGUGAGUAACGCGUGGGUAACCUACCCAUAAAGCCGGGACAACCCUUGGAAACGAGGGCUAAUACCGAAUAAUCUUAAGAGUUGGCAUCAGCUUUUAAGGAAAGGUGGCCUCUGUAUAUGCUACCGAUUAUGGAUGGACCCGCGUCUGAUUAGCUAGUUGGUGGGGUAAAGGCCUACCAAGGCGACGAUCAGUAGCCGACCUGAGAGGGUGAUCGGCCACACUGGAACUGAGAUACGGUCCAGACUCCUACGGGAGGCAGCAGUAGGGAAUCUUCCGCAAUGGACGAAAGUCUGACGGAGCAACGCCGCGUGUGUGAAGAAGGUCUUCGGGUCGUAAAACUCUGUCCUAAGGGAAGAAUAAGUGCCGCUGGCAAUGGGGGGCACCUUGACGGUACCUUGCGAGAAAGCCCCGGCUAACUACGUGCCAGCAGCCGCGGUAAUACGUAGGGGGCAAGCGUUGUCCGGAAUUAUUGGGCGUAAAGGGCGCGUAGGCGGCCUCUUAAGUCAGGAGUGAAAUUCCCCGGCUCAACCGGGGAGUUCAUUUGAAACUGACAAGCUUGAGUGCAAGAGAGGAAAGUGGAAUUCCACGUGUAGCGGUGAAAUGCGUAGAUAUGUGGAGGAACACCAGUGGCGAAGGCGACUUUCUGGACUGUAACUGACGCUGAGGCGCGAAAGCGUGGGGAGCAAACAGGAUUAGAUACCCUGGUAGUCCACGCUGUAAACGAUGAGUGCUAGGUGUAGAGGGUAUCGACCCCUUCUGUGCCGCAGUUAACACAAUAAGCACUCCGCCUGGGGAGUACGGCCGCAAGGUUGAAACUCAAAGGAAUUGACGGGGGCCCGCACAAGCGGUGGAGCAUGUGGUUUAAUUCGACGCAACGCGAAGAACCUUACCAGGGCUUGACAUCCUCCUAGUAUAAGGAAACUAGGGAGUGCCCUUCGGGGAGCGUAGAGACAGGUGGUGCAUGGUUGUCGUCAGCUCGUGUCGUGAGAUGUUGGGUUAAGUCCCGUAACGAGCGCAACCCCUAUGUUUAGUUACCAGCACAUUAAGGUGGGAACUCUAGCGAGACUGCCGGUGACAAACCGGAGGAAGGUGGGGAUGACGUCAAAUCAUCAUGCCCCUUAUGAGUUGGGCUACACACGUGCUACAAUGGCCGGUACAAAGAGUUGCGAAACCGCAAGGCGGAGCCAAUCCCAGAAAGCCGUUCUCAGUUCGGAUUGCAGGCUGCAACUCGCCUGCAUGAAGUCGGAAUCGCUAGUAAUCGCAGGUCAGCAUACUGCGGUGAAUACGUUCCCGGGUCUUGUACACACCGCCCGCCACACCACGAGAGUUUGUAACACCCGAAGUCGGUGAGGUAACCUUAGGGAGCCAGCCGCCGAAGGUGGGGUAGGUAAUUGGGGUGAAGUCGUAACAAGGUAACCA
Molecule: ribosomal RNA, 1632 nt
Filed under: uncultured bacterium
Lineage: Bacteria
Description: partial 16S ribosomal RNA
Rfam family: Bacterial small subunit ribosomal RNA
Source: RNAcentral